GGCGGGCGCAGCGAGCGCGCGCGGCCCGCCCCCUCCUUCCUCUCUGUGGUGGCUUGUGGGCGGCAUGGCGGCCGGGCCGAGGGCGAGCAUGGCUUGGUGUUGAGCAAAGGUAAAACCACUCACCUGCCUGAGAAGCGGCUGCUCUGUCAGUUUCUGCACCGACACCAAACCCACACCAGCUGCAUGAUGGAGGAAACGGCCCUGCAGGAUCCUGGGCUUGUGCUGUGGCCCAAAGAUGGCUUUGGCAAGAGGGCAGCUGCUAAGCUGGGCUUCAGGCUGGUAAGAGAACGCUUCAAUAUUGCAUGCCGCUCGUUUUUAAUUCAUUAAUUAUCUGUUGGAUCUGCAGGCAGUGUGACUCAUCUGCUGACAGAUUAGCUAGUCUUUGAACGCUUCCCAGGAAAAAUACUAGUCAUCAGGAAGGAGGCUGGUCAUCAGCACGUCGGCAUCUGGGUGUCUGUGCUGUGUGGGGUUUUGCAGAACUUGAGGAGUUUCUGUGGCCGAGGGCAGGAGAGGGGCUGAGCCUGUGAUGUGCUGUUAUCCCUGUCUGAGCACUCCGCUGUGAGGGAGAAACAACUUCCACUGAGGCUUGUGUGCGUGUCCCCUUAGUGGGUCUCCUACCCUUUGCGAAGACUCAGGUGACACAGGUGGCACCAGCAGUGUCCCUACCCUUGCGCCCUUUGCAAAGACUCAGGUGGCACCAGCAGUGUCCCUACCCUUGCCACAUGCGACUGUAGCACAACACUGUCCCAGACACAGGCUGUUGGGCAGCCCAGAUCCAGCCCGGCUCUGUGCAGGGAGUAACGCGCCGGCCGCCGUUGCCAUAGCAAAGUUUGGAUCCCUGAAGAGCUUUUAAGUUGUGUAUCCAAACAGUGAGGCACAGCGGCGGGUUAAAGGGCAGAUAAGAAAUGUGUUUUUAUCUCACUUGAUGUACAGUCACUGAAUACACACGCUGGAACGGCACUUUGUCUCCGGGGAGCUGACAGCUGCAUUCUGCUAAAUCAUUUCACGCUUUAUUUAACAGAAUUUGUAUUUGUUUGCAGAAGAUCAAUAACGUUGGCUGACAGGCUGAGCUGGCAAACUUGAUGAGCGUGGACUUCCUUAAGAAAUCAAGGUUGGUGUGCAAAAGGGGAGGGAAUGGUGCUACAAACCAGUAGUCAAGUGGUUGCUCUGUCAAUAGGGCUGUGUUCCAAGCGGGACCAGUCACUGGGAAGAGCACGUGGGGCUUCUGGCUUCCAAGGAAUAAGGGGAAAAAAAGUGAAGGGGUGGCCUGGUGACAAAUAGAGAAAGUAAAAGCUACUCGGGGCUUUAAGAAUGGAGAGGGGCAGGAAUUGUUUCAGAUUUAACUUUAGGAAAGUGCUUACAGCAUUGCUUUGUGGUGUCUCCCAGCUCUAGAAGCAGCAGAGGGAAGGUUGUUCUGGAGUGGGUCUCGCAAGUGGCCACCGAGAUGUCAUUCAGAAGGGUGUAAAACAGCCACCUGCGUGGGACUGUGGGCUCCUCGCUGCUCAGGGGCUGCUGCAACCACAUCCUGGGUGAGUUCCCAGUAAAGCCAGAGAGGAUUUGGGUACUGGUGCCAUUGGCCUGGGAGGGAGCAAGAGGAUUUGGGUACUGGUGCCAUUGGCUUGGGAGGGAGCAAGUGUUUGUUUCCUGAGACCUGUACUCUCCACAAAAUAGUGCAAACCAGGAGCUUUCCAGGUGACAGCUGCUUUGCUCUGACACUUACCUUUUUUCCACUAGGACCUGAUCUACAGCUGGCUGGAGGAAAAAGUGGUUCCCUGCGUUCUUCUGUUCCAGAAUAAAAUAAGUUAUGGGAAAUCUUGGGAGCUGAAG
Molecule: long non-coding RNA, 1827 nt
Filed under: Calidris pugnax (ruff)
Lineage: Eukaryota; Metazoa; Chordata; Aves; Charadriiformes; Scolopacidae
Description: lncRNA (ENSCPUG00000004022.1)
Source: RNAcentral